GGAAUCUUAGACAAUGGGGGAAACCCUGAUCUAGCCAUGCCGCGUGGACGAUGAAGGCCUUAGGGUUGUAAAGUCCUUUCGCUGAGGAAGAUAAUGACGGUACUCAGUAAAGCAGCCCCGGCUAACUCCGUGCCAGCAGCAGCGGUAAUACGGAGGGGGCUAGCGUUGUUCGGAAUUACUGGGCCUAAAGCGCACGUAGGCGGACUAGAAAGUCAGAGGUGAAAUCCCAGGGCUCAACCUUGGAACUGCCUUUGAAACUCCUAGUCUAGAGUUCGAGAGAGGUGAGUGGAAUUCCGAGUGUAGAGGUGAAAUUCGUAGAUAUUCGGAGGAACACCAGUGGCGAAGGCGGCUCACUGGCUCGAUACUGACGCUGAGGUGCGAAAGCGUGGGGAGCAAAC
RNAcentral lists this ribosomal RNA (398 nucleotides) under uncultured bacterium. Its description in RNAcentral is "bacterial SSU rRNA". It matches the Rfam family "Bacterial small subunit ribosomal RNA", at positions 358 to 773 of the family's 1533-position model. The record is from RNAcentral.